GAUGAACGCUAGCUACAGGCUUAACACAUGCAAGUCGAGGGACCGGCGCACGGGUGAGUAACACGUAUCCAACCUGCCCUUUACUCGGGGAUAGCCUUUCGAAAGAAAGAUUAAUACCCGAUAUAAAGGCUGGGGAUGCGUUCCAUUAGGUUGUUGGUGAGGUAACGGCUCACCAAGCCUUCGAUGGAUAGGGGUUCUUCGAGGAAGGUCCCCGACAUGGGAAAUGAGAAACGGUCCAAACUACGACGUGAGGCAGCAGUGAGGAAUAUUGGUCAAGGGGCGCUAGCCUGAACCAGCCAAGUAGCGUGAAGGAUGAAGGCUUAUGGGGAGUAAACGGCUUUUAUAUAAGAAUAUGUAUUAUAUGAAUAAGGAUCGGCUAACUCCGUGCCAGCAGCCGCGGUAAUUC
Molecule: ribosomal RNA, 406 nt
Filed under: uncultured bacterium
Lineage: Bacteria
Description: partial 16S ribosomal RNA
Rfam family: Bacterial small subunit ribosomal RNA
Source: RNAcentral